GCCCUAGUAGUAUAUCGCCAUAUUACAGUAAACUGCAACUUUACCUAAGCACCUCGCCAUGGGUU
RNAcentral lists this transfer RNA (65 nucleotides) under Pseudunio marocanus. RNAcentral describes it as "tRNA-Cys". The record is from RNAcentral. Lineage: Eukaryota; Metazoa; Mollusca; Bivalvia; Unionida; Margaritiferidae.